GCCAACGCCCCAGUUAUUUAGCAUCCUUCAGAGAUGAUAAGAUACUCAGGAGAAGGUAUUCAGGACCCACACUUUGUGUCCUGCUACAAGAGAUGGCCAGAGACGGAGUACACUAUAGAGCGCCAAGGAAAUAAGAUACUUCUCAAAUCUCAUCAUCAGGCGGCUGAAGAUGACCACAGCCCUAUCAGUGUGCAGAUGGAACGGCAGAUUUUCAACACCGUGUUUGCUGUUGGAGCCCUGAGCCACAAUGAAAAGUGGACUAUCUGGCCAGAGAGACUCUUGGAGAGAGAACGAUGCCGAGUCAGCCCUAGCUGUGACAGUCAGACUCUUGGAGGAGCCCCACAUGGGAGUCAAGAAGCACUCCUUAAGUUCAGCCCCUGUCCAGCCACAAGGUCUACCCACAGAAGCAUAAAAACAAUAAAAUGUUGUUUUAAGCUACAAAGUUUGAGUAAAUGGUGUGUCAAACAGUACUAGAUAACUGAAACAACCAUGAGUGUAUCUGUGUGUGACAUCCACUGAAAUUCUCCAACUUUGCUCUUGUAUUUUUGUUUUUAUUUUUUUAAUUAUAGGAUAUUUAAUAAGUAAGACAGAGUAAAUAAACUUUACUUGUACAUUUUAGCAUAAUUAACAAAGAAUUACAAAGCAAAACCUAUGUAAUCGCUACCUAGGUCAAGAAACAGAACACUGCUAGCACCCAAACCCAUCCCACCUCCUCUUUGCGCAUCACAACUGGCCCCCCAUUGGUAAACAUUGACUUGUUUUUUGUGACAUGAAUUGCUUAGCUUUUCCUUAUAGUUUUGCCACUAAAGUAUACAUUCUUAAACAUUAUGGUUCAUGCUUGUAUCAAACUUUCUGUGAACGGAGUCAGUGUGUAUGCAUUCUUUUAAGACUUGCUUCAUUUGCUGAACUUAUGUCUGUGAUACUCAUCCACGUUGUUGCACAUAGCUGUAGUUCAUUCAUUUUCACUGCUUCGUAGGCAUCCAUCAUGGGAACAUAAUACAGGUUAUGUAUCCAUUCCACUCUAAAUGGAC
RNAcentral lists this long non-coding RNA (1031 nucleotides) under Equus caballus (horse). RNAcentral's name for it is "lncRNA (ENSECAG00000029770.2)". Lineage: Eukaryota; Metazoa; Chordata; Mammalia; Perissodactyla; Equidae. The record is from RNAcentral.